This 392-nucleotide ribosomal RNA is filed under the name uncultured bacterium. RNAcentral describes it as "bacterial SSU rRNA". It matches the Rfam family "Bacterial small subunit ribosomal RNA", at positions 28 to 429 of the family's 1533-position model. The record is from RNAcentral.
GACGAACGCUGGCGGCGUGCUUAACACAUGCAAGUCGAACGAUGAACCACUUCGGUGGGGAUUAGUGGCGAACGGGUGAGUAACACGUGGGCAAUCUGCCCUUCACUCUGGGACAAGCCCUGGAAACGGGGUCUAAUACCGGAUACCACUCUCGCGGGCAUGUGCGAGGGUUGAAAGCUCCGGCGGUGAAGGAUGAGCCCGCGGCCUAUCAGCUUGUUGGUGAGGUAAGGCUCACCAAGGCGACGACGGGUAGCCGGCCUGAGAGGGCGACCGGCCACACUGGGACUGAGACACGGCCCAGACUCCUACGGGAGGCAGCAGUGGGGAAUAUUGCACAAUGGGCGAAAGCCUGAUGCAGCGACGCCGCGUGAGGGAUGACGGCCUGGUGUAAC